Molecule: ribosomal RNA, 415 nt
Filed under: uncultured bacterium
Lineage: Bacteria
Description: partial 16S ribosomal RNA
Rfam family: Bacterial small subunit ribosomal RNA
Source: RNAcentral
AAUAUUGCGCAAUGGAGGGAACUCUGACGCAGCGACGCCGCGUGAGCGAUGAAGGUUUUCGGAUCGUAAAGCUCUGUCCUUGGGGAAGAAGGCGGCCAUUUAUGGUCACUUGACGGUACCCAAGGCGGAAGCCCCGGCUAACUACGCGCCAGCAGCCGCGGUAAUACGUAGGUGGCAAGCGUUGUCCGGAAUUAUUGGGCGUAAAGCGCCCGCAGGCGGUUUUUUAAGUCUGAUGUGAAAUCUUGCGGCUCAACCGCAAGCGGUCAUUGGAAACUGGAGAACUUGAGGACAGAAGAGGAGAGUGAAAUUCCACGUGUAGCGGUGAAAUGCGUAGAGAUGUGGAGGAACACCAGUGGCGAAGGCGACUCUCUGGUCUGUAACUGACGCUGAGGCGCGAAAGCGUGGGUAGCGAACA